Molecule: ribosomal RNA, 301 nt
Filed under: uncultured bacterium
Lineage: Bacteria
Description: partial 16S ribosomal RNA
Rfam family: Bacterial small subunit ribosomal RNA
Source: RNAcentral
CAGUAGCCGCGGUAAAACGGAGGGUGCAAGCGUUAAUCGGAAUUACUGGGCGUAAAGCGCAUGCAGGCGGUCUGACAAGUCAGAUGUGAAAUCCCCGGGCUUAACCUGGGAACUGCAUUUGAAACUGUCAGGCUGGAGUCUUGUAGAGGGGGGUAGAAUUCCAGGUGUAGCGGUGAAAUGCGUAGAGAUCUGGAGGAAUACCGGUGGCGAAGGCGGCCCCCUGGACAAAGACUGACGCUCAGGUGCGAAAGCGUGGGGAGCAAACAGGAUUAGAUACCCCAGUAGUCCCUGUCUCUUAUAC